CGAGCCGCGAGCUUCGAGAGGGGGAUGUGUUGGGAACAUUUGCUGCAAGGAGCCAACUACCGGAGCCGCCAGGCGUCGUGUGGAGUCGCGGGUGUUGAUUAAAGAAGGAAUUGGCCAGGUGAUGGCGAGCUAGACCCAAAGAAUUAUAGGCCCACACUGCCUGAAGAACCCUGGAGCUCGAACUGAAGUGAACUGAACUGGACCUCCUGCACCUCCUCCACCUGGUUGGGCUGCUGGUCGGGGAGCAGCAGGAGAGUCGCCCCCUGCUGAGCCCCUCCAUCGAUGACUUCCUGUCGGAGAGUCGCAGUGACGCCUCGUCAGUCCGACCAAUCAGCUCCAAUGCAGCAGUUCUGACCACAACGCUGGACCUAGUGGACCUCAGCGAGCCCAGCAACGGGGGCGGCAUCGAGGGCAGCAUCGGGGGCAGCACCAGGAACAGCAGGAAGAGGAGCCCUCUGAGGAGGAAGGGAAGCUCCAAGAGUCCUCGGCACCGAGCGAGAGCCGACGAGACGGAGCUGAUCCAGGUGGAGGUGGAACAUCUGUCGAGUCCCAGAACACCUGAGAGGGUCUCACUGGACUCAGUCAGUCUGUCUUCUCCUCUGGACAAAUGGGACGACGUGAACCUGGAGGUGGAGGACAGCGUUCG
Long non-coding RNA from Amphiprion ocellaris (clown anemonefish), 646 nucleotides. NCBI's taxonomy places the organism in Eukaryota, Metazoa, Chordata, Actinopteri, Pomacentridae. The record is from Ensembl.